UGUCUCGGUGGUGUAGCGGAAGAGCAUGCGUCCCCGAGUAGGAUGAAACGCGGGUUCGAUUCCCGCUGAGGCCA
Parelaphostrongylus tenuis is the source of this 74-nucleotide non-coding RNA. NCBI's taxonomy places the organism in Eukaryota, Metazoa, Nematoda, Chromadorea, Rhabditida, Metastrongylidae. The record is from the annotation of a GenBank genome assembly.